This 240-nucleotide long non-coding RNA is filed under the name Phoenix dactylifera (date palm). Its description in RNAcentral is "long non-coding RNA (PDAC_LNC012251)". The record is from RNAcentral. Lineage: Eukaryota; Viridiplantae; Streptophyta; Magnoliopsida; Arecales; Arecaceae.
AGUUUUCGUAUCUGAGAUCACGUUACAAUAUGUGAAUGAAAAUAAAUCAACACACGUAUGUGAUCGAUCUUCUGAAAAUUCUCCUACUUUUCUAGAGAAAGAGAAAGCCAUGAAAGAUAGUCGUUUCCGCCCAAAGUGUCCUUACUUUCGAGGGCCGGUCUCCAAGGAUUCAACUCGCAUUUCACAUGAGAGGGAGGGGGAGUCCGCUUGAGUCUUUAGCCUUACUAUAUUGACUCGAGA